Non-coding RNA from Phrynosoma platyrhinos (Desert horned lizard), 70 nucleotides. The record is from the annotation of a GenBank genome assembly. NCBI's taxonomy places the organism in Eukaryota, Metazoa, Chordata, Lepidosauria, Squamata, Phrynosomatidae.
GCUGUAGCUCAGUGGUAGAACACUUGCUUUGCAUCCAGAAAGUAAUCCAAGUUCAGUUCUUGGCAUUGCA